UACGGAGGGGGCAAGCGUUGUUCGGAAUUACUGGGCGUAAAGGGCGCGCAGGCGGCUGCUCAAGUCAGGCGUGAAAGGCCUGGGCUCAACCCGGGAAUUGCGCUUGAGACUGGGCUGGCUUGAGUGCGGGAGAGGAUGGUGGAAUUCCACGUGUAGCAGUGAAAUGCGUAGAGAUGUGGAGGAACACCGAUGGCGAAGGCAGCCCCCUGGGCUAACACUGACGCUCAUGCACGAAAGCGUGGGGAGCAAACAGG
Molecule: ribosomal RNA, 254 nt
Filed under: uncultured bacterium
Lineage: Bacteria
Description: partial 16S ribosomal RNA
Rfam family: Bacterial small subunit ribosomal RNA
Source: RNAcentral